RNAcentral lists this ribosomal RNA (496 nucleotides) under uncultured bacterium. RNAcentral describes it as "partial 16S ribosomal RNA". It matches the Rfam family "Bacterial small subunit ribosomal RNA", at positions 28 to 508 of the family's 1533-position model. The record is from RNAcentral.
GACGAACGCUGGCGGCGUGCCUAAUACAUGCAAGUAGAACGCUGAAGGAGGAGCUUGCUUCUCUGGAUGAGUUGCGAACGGGUGAGUAACGCGUAGGUAACCUGCCUGGUAGCGGGGGAUAACUAUUGGAAACGAUAGCUAAUACCGCAUAAUAGCAGUUGUUGCAUGAUAACUGUUUGAAAGGUGCAAUUGCACCACUACCAGAUGGACCUGCGUUGUAUUAUCUAGUUGGUGGGGUAACGGCUCACCAAGGCGACGAUACAUAGCCGACCUGAGAGGGGGAUCGGCCACACUGGGACUGAGACACGGCCCAGACUCCUACGGGAGGCAGCAGUAGGGAAUCUUCGGCAAUGGACGGAAGUCUGACCGAGCAACGCCGCGUGAGUGAAGAAGGUUUUCGGAUCGUAAAGCUCUGUUGUAAGAGAAGAACGAGUGUGAGAGUGGAAAGUUCACACUGUGACGGUAUCUUACCAGAAAGGGACGGCGAACUACGUGC